Molecule: ribosomal RNA, 253 nt
Filed under: uncultured bacterium
Lineage: Bacteria
Description: partial 16S ribosomal RNA
Rfam family: Bacterial small subunit ribosomal RNA
Source: RNAcentral
UACGUAGGUGGCAAGCGUUAUCCGGAUUUAUUGGGCGUAAAGGGAACGCAGGCGGUCUUUUAAGUCUGAUGUGAAAGCCUUCGGCUUAACCGGAGUAGUGCAUUGGAAACUGGGAGACUUGAGUGCAGAAGAGGAGAGUGGAACUCCAUGUGUAGCGGUGAAAUGCGUAGAUAUUAGGAGGAACACCAGUGGCGAAGGCGGCCUACUGGACUGCAACUGACGUUGAGGCCCGAAAGCGUGGGGAGCAAACAGG